Long non-coding RNA from Sander lucioperca (pikeperch), 284 nucleotides. RefSeq lists it as uncharacterized. The transcript is spliced from 2 exons. The record is from RefSeq and is a predicted model, not a curated record. NCBI's taxonomy places the organism in Eukaryota, Metazoa, Chordata, Actinopteri, Perciformes, Percidae.
CCCGGAGCGCAAGCCCGUGUAAAAUGAUAGAAAUGAAGGUCCCAUCGGGUUUGGACACAGAUCUUCAGCUCUACACCAAAGCUUCCCUGAUUGUCAUCCUCUUCAAACUGCUGGUUAAUCGAGAGCAAGAAAGAGAUUGUCCGAGUAUAACCAUUGAGCUCAGAAAUUAAUCUUUCCAAAAUGACACUGUCAUGUCCCAAAUUGUCAGUUUCCCUCACAAUUCUCUGAACACACCGCAGUGUAUCAGUGAAAAAGAUAGCAAUGUUUUCCUCAUUACCAUUUAC